Molecule: non-coding RNA, 888 nt
Organism: Chiloscyllium plagiosum (whitespotted bambooshark)
Lineage: Eukaryota; Metazoa; Chordata; Chondrichthyes; Orectolobiformes; Hemiscylliidae
Source: RefSeq, a predicted model, not a curated record
GGGACACAGAGGGGGCUCCGAGACCGGGAUUGAUUCGGGGCAAAUAUUUGAUGGAUCAAUCCAAGGGUGACCAGCUGCUUCUCACACCCAGCAGCUCCGGAAAGCAUUCUUUAUGCUGCCUUCAUCAUACAGCCUACAGCUUACUCACUCAGUAAGGCAGAAUGAUACCAUUGAACAAGCCACUCCAAGGACCCAGUCUGUUCUCAUUCGAAACAGUUCUGACAAGCAGACCGAAGGUUCGGUAAAUGAAUAACUCCAGCCACAUUAAAUGAAAGGGUAAUUGUCCCAGUUACUGAACAGACACCAGGUGCUAGCUACAGCCCAUUAAUGCCCUAAAACAGCUGACGGUGCAACAGCUAAAGUUAUAGUACUCAGUUUCUUGAAAUAAGUUUGAAUAUUAAGAAAAAGGUUCUUGUAAAGAGUCUUACCAUCAUCACCAUAUUUUUCAGCAUAAAAAAUAAGUGUGUAAUACCAAAGCAUAAAGAGGAAAAGAAGCAUUUAAACCUGGAAGGGAAGGUUAGCUAGCUUUAGGUAAUGCCUUCUCUUAUGCCUAGUACAAAAUAGAUUGCUCACGGCCUAUUAAUCAGAGUGCUAACAAUUGGGGCAAAUAAAUUUACACUUUGUAGCUAACUUUUUAUAACAAAAGUUAAAAUUACAAGUCAAUGGCAAGUAAGUCAAAACAAACUGUCCUUUGUUUUUUCUUCAUAUAUUCCCCAUUGCCCUAAUUAUAUCAGAGCAGCAAUUGAACUUGAUAAAAUGGAAUACAAUGAAUAACAAUAUUCAAGCUGUCCUGAGAGACAAGCUAGCCUGAGAGAUGUGGGCGGCACGGUGGUACAGUGGUUAGCACUGCUGCCUCACAACGGCAGAGACCCGGGUUCAAUUCCCGCC